Molecule: long non-coding RNA, 1605 nt
Organism: Clupea harengus (Atlantic herring)
Lineage: Eukaryota; Metazoa; Chordata; Actinopteri; Clupeiformes; Clupeidae
Source: Ensembl
UCUUAAUGUGUAAAAGCUGUUGUUUGAAAGACCAAGAAAAUGCUUCUGCUUGGACUUUGUUGGUGCUAUGAGUUUAAACUAUUCAUACCUCUGCCCAGCCACCUCAGAAUAAUCCCCACUGGCGGCCGGUUCUGGCCUGGGUCUGGACCGGUUCUGCCGAGUUUCCGGCCCUGUUUUGCUCCAGACUCGGUCUCUAUCGGGGAUCUGUUUUUUUUUUUUUUUUGGGACAAUCCCUACCUCGGGAUUCUGGUGACCAGCACACACACACACAGACACACAGACACACACACACAGACACACACACACACACACAUACAAGGGGUGAGGCCAUUUGGAAGUGAAGAUGGAGAGAAUGACCCUACUGCUUGGACACACCUGGCCCUUCUUCCUUCCGUUUCCACCUGAUGUUUGUCCUUGUUUGUUCGUUCAUUCGUUUCGUCUGUUUUUAGACAAAAAAAAAUCUCCAGCUGCAGAUCAUGUUAACGUUUGUUUAAAAAAAAGAAAAAAAAAUAGAGGUCAAAGGUGAAAUCUGCUCUACAUCAGGAAGAGAAAAGGUCCCUUUUGUGUCCCUUUUGUGAACACUUUUGCUCAAGCUUCACACUGCUCCACCACGAACAGCUUCUGUGUCUGUGUGUGUGUGAGUGUGUGUGUUUGUGUAUGUAUGUGUGUUCGUUCCUCCCCUGUAACGUGAUGCCUUUCGUAAGCAAUAGACUUGCUCCAGUGUUUUGUCAUAUCUAGGACUUCACACACAAACUGCACAGACAAUCAGAAAUGAUGUUGAGAGAGCACGAGAGCGACCGAGCAAGCGAGAGAGAAAGAGAGAGAAAGAGGGAGAGCACAAUUUUGAUACCUGAUUGAAUGGAUGUGGGUAUGAGCGGUCUACUUUCACAGAGGAAUGUAAUAGUCAUGGGAUGUGAAUGGCUGAAUCUUAAACCUAACUCAGUUUGAAGUGAAAAGACAAAACAAAAUUAAAAAAAAAGAUAUUUUACAGUAUAAAGGAUAAAGGUUGUAUAUUUUAAGAUUGCAGAUAUUUUUUACAGAAGUUAUAUGCAUACUAUGAGUCAUUUUACCGUUUUUGCAUACAUAGUUCUUUUUCUCAAAUUUCUACAAAGACAGCAUCCUGUUGCUUCUCAAAACAAGAAUAAGCCCAUAACCAGGUCCACAACAACAAGAACCCCAUAACCAGGUCCACAACAACAAGAACCCAUAACCAGGUCCAGAACCCCAUAACCAGGUCCACAACUAGAAUAAGCCCAUAGCCAGGUCCAGAACAAGAAUAAGCCCAUAGCCAGGUCCACAACUAGAAUAAGCCCAUAGCCAGGUCCACAACUAGAAUAAGCCCAUAGCCAGGUCCAGAACCCCAUAACCAGGUCCAGAAGCACCCAAAGGAGAAAUACACUUACAGUGGGGAAAAUAAGUAUUUGAACCCCUGCCGAUUUCGCAAGUUUGGCCACUUGCAAAGAAAUGUGUGAUCUAUAAUUGUAAUGGUAGGUCUAUUUUAACAGUGAGAGACAGAAUAUCCACAAAAAACAUCCAGAAAACUGCAUUUUAUAACAGGUAUGAAUUGAUUUGCAUUUGUCGCGGAAAAUAAGUAUUGAAUACUUA